GGUAUAAUGCUAUUAUAUUAUGAACAACUAAUCUGAUUUUAUUUGGAGGUCAGUGUAUGUUGAUCUGCUGCAGUAUUUGCUAUCGCCAGUAGAUGGCAGAGUAGAUUUUCUUUACUACUUUUCAAUUGAAAACUUGUAUUAUACAAAUGAAUAAGGAAAUGACUAAACUAGUGAUAAUAAAAUACUGUGUUCAUAGGAAUUACACAUCUGUUAACAUCCAGAACGCUAUUUCAUAUAUCUUAGGAUGUCAACCAUUAACUGUAUCAUAAAACAUGAGCACACAUGAGCACUGCUUCCAUUUUUAACCUAAGGAGUAGUAUAACCCCCCACCAAAAGGGGGCGCACUAUGCGUUUUAGCAAAUGGAACCCCCCACGAACAAGAAGCCCUUUUCUCCUAGGAUUUCUUCAUGAUACCUGAAGGUCCCGGAUUUCGACGUCCAACUUGAGAGUGUCAACGGAAGUGAUUCCAUAGUUAUCUGCUACUGAAAACUCAGAAGAACCUGAAUCUGAAUGAUGAGAUGGCGCACUUACCCCAGAUCGUGGAUACGGUGUGGCCAACCGUGUAAUCCAGAUCGAACCUGAUUCGUGUAUCGAGAAGACAUCAUACCCCAGUCCUGCCCGUCACGUAGACGGGUAGUACUGAGUAUAGAGACCUAAAGACCCGGACCAGAACGGAACCAUUGAAUCCUCAAGCACACACACUAUUCAAGGACUGUACGGACGAUAUCCAGGGAACUGUACAUAUACACACUGACAGGACUGAAUUAUUUACAAGAUUUAUAUAAUAUUUACUGUUUCUAUUUUGUGCUGUUUAAUACUGUUUUAUACUUUAUAUUGUGAUUGUUCGGUGACUGUUUGUGAAACAAUAAACUGGUCAUUUGUUAAACUUGUU
Long non-coding RNA from Limanda limanda (common dab), 892 nucleotides. RefSeq lists it as uncharacterized. The record is from RefSeq and is a predicted model, not a curated record. Lineage: Eukaryota; Metazoa; Chordata; Actinopteri; Pleuronectiformes; Pleuronectidae. The transcript has 3 exons.